GUGCAUUUUCUUUAAUAAUAGAAGCAGUUUUGUCAUGGGAUCAUUGGUCUAAUCAUGACUCUGCUGUUCUUUCAAUGUGCGAUGGCGCUCUUCUUGAUCUACUGGUUGAGUAAAGCUGUAUGCAGAGAACAUUACAACACCUUGCCCACCAUAAUGCUGAAGCAGGAAGACUGAAUGAUAAAGACAGAACACAACCAGAAAUGAUCCACUCCUGUGAAUGUGUCUGUUUUCUAGACUAAAGUUUAACAGAGUGGCAGCAGCGUAUAGAUGCAUACUGUUUCUGACAGUUCCUUUUUGUUUAUCAGUUCAGCUGCUCAUGGUAGCAUUACAUUAGAAAAGGUGUUGUUUAACUAAUGUAUAUAGGCAACAACUUUACAGUUCCUUAACAUUUAUUUCAACCUUUAAAACAAAAGAAACCCAUUGCUCUUCUUCAAAAUAUGUGGAAAAAUGCUUCAGUUUGGAUAUGAAUUAUAUUGUGUUUUAUAGGUAUGAACUGAGAAUACACAUAUAAGUUUUGCAAUUGUAACAGCAGAAAAAAAAGCAUUUUUACUCUUUUUGAUGUUAUCAUUUUUUUCUUUGUAAAGGAAGAAUGAUAAAAGAUUCUUAAUGUAUACUGUAUAAUUUUUGAGUGUAUUUUCUUUAUGGAAUACAAAGAAGAACACAAAUAGCAUGGAAAUAUUUCAUCUAAAUGCGCAAUUUGAUUAUAUAUGCAAAUUGUGUCUUAUUGAUAAUUAACAUCAGUUUCUGGUUUGUUAAAUUGAAAAGAGAUAUUACUUUUGCUUAUAUAAGCAGAUAUAUUUUUUUUUGGUAAAACCAAAUUUUUACUCUUCUCUUGCGGCUUUAAGAAAGAUGGCUGAACCAUAUAAUGAAGCUUUUACCAGUUUUAUUUUCAACUGCUAUAGUAAUGCAAUGCACUUACAAGGUACUGCUUUGCUUUAUACAUGAUAAUAAAUCAGGCAAGAAAUUGGAAAAUGAA
Molecule: long non-coding RNA, 976 nt
Organism: Cyprinodon tularosa
Lineage: Eukaryota; Metazoa; Chordata; Actinopteri; Cyprinodontiformes; Cyprinodontidae
Exons: 2
Source: RefSeq, a predicted model, not a curated record